UCAGUGUGGCCGAGGCUAGAGAUGGCGU
RNAcentral lists this non-coding RNA (28 nucleotides) under Mus musculus (house mouse). The record is from RNAcentral. Lineage: Eukaryota; Metazoa; Chordata; Mammalia; Rodentia; Muridae.